AGGAGUUUAGGCUAACAAAGACCGAGGGCCUUCAAAGCCCUAAGUAAGUAUUCAUACUUAACUCCUG
RNAcentral lists this transfer RNA (67 nucleotides) under Sciurus aestuans (Guianan squirrel). RNAcentral describes it as "Guerlinguetus aestuans (Guianan squirrel) tRNA-Trp". The record is from RNAcentral. Lineage: Eukaryota; Metazoa; Chordata; Mammalia; Rodentia; Sciuridae.